AAAUUGAAGAGUUUGAUCAUGGCUCAGAUUGAACGCUGGCGGCAGGCCUAACACAUGCAAGUCGAGCGGCAGCGGAAAGUAGCUUGCUACUUUGCCGGCGAGCGGCGGACGGGUGAGUAAUGUCUGGGAAACUGCCUGAUGGAGGGGGAUAACUACUGGAAACGGUAGCUAAUACCGCAUAACGUCGCAAGACCAAAGAGGGGGACCUUCGGGCCUCUUGCCAUCAGAUGUGCCCAGAUGGGAUUAGCUAGUAGGUGGGGUAACGGCUCACCUAGGCGACGAUCCCUAGCUGGUCUGAGAGGAU
RNAcentral lists this ribosomal RNA (304 nucleotides) under Enterobacter roggenkampii. RNAcentral's name for it is "partial 16S ribosomal RNA". It matches the Rfam family "Bacterial small subunit ribosomal RNA", at positions 1 to 301 of the family's 1533-position model. Lineage: Bacteria; Pseudomonadati; Pseudomonadota; Gammaproteobacteria; Enterobacterales; Enterobacteriaceae. The record is from RNAcentral.